GACGAACGCUGGCGGCGUGCUUAACACAUGCAAGUCGAACGGAAAGGCCCUGCUUUUGUGGGGUGCUCGAGUGGCGAACGGGUGAGUAACACGUGAGUAACCUGCCCUUGACUUUGGGAUAACUUCAGGAAACUGGGGCUAAUACCGGAUAGGAGCUCCUGCUGCAUGGUGGGGGUUGGAAAGUUUCGGCGGUUGGGGAUGGACUCGCGGCUUAUCAGCUUGUUGGUGGGGUAGUGGCUUACCAAGGCUUUGACGGGUAGCCGGCCUGAGAGGGUGACCGGCCACAUUGGGACUGAGAGACGGCCCAGACUCAUACGGGAGGCAGCAGUGGGGAAUAUUGCACAAUGGGCGGAGGCCUGAUGCAGCAACGCCGCGUGCGGGAUGACGGCCUUCGGGUUGUAAACCGAUUUCGCCUGUGACGAAGCGUGAGUGACGGUAAUGGGGAAAGAAGCACCGGCUAACUACGG
RNAcentral lists this ribosomal RNA (467 nucleotides) under uncultured bacterium. RNAcentral describes it as "partial 16S ribosomal RNA". It matches the Rfam family "Bacterial small subunit ribosomal RNA", at positions 28 to 506 of the family's 1533-position model. The record is from RNAcentral.